Non-coding RNA from Cyanistes caeruleus (blue tit), 449 nucleotides. The record is from RefSeq and is a predicted model, not a curated record. Lineage: Eukaryota; Metazoa; Chordata; Aves; Passeriformes; Paridae.
AUAAUACUUUUCCCUCUUAAAGUAGCAUCAAGAAUACAAGUCAACAAUUUACUGUGGAGAUACCAAAGGCUGGGGAAGUGGACUUUACCUUUGUCAGUGGGUAUCUUGUUGGCCAGGCUACUGAAGUCUCUGAUUAAGAAAGCAUGGAACCAAAGACAAGAAAACACAAAAAUAACUGGAAAAUUCCCUAUCAUAUGAUGCAAGACUGAAGCGUAAAAAAUUAUAACACAAGGCAGAGAACAUUCCAUUCUCCCAGAGGAUCUCUAAAGGAAUGGAUGAGGAACAACAAUUAAGUAGUGAAGUCUGCUUCACUAUGCACUCUCUGGAUUAUCCUCGUAUCAUCAUGAGCACUUCCCUGUAGCCUCAAAACUACAGAAAAAGACAGAUCAGCAGAUCUUCCCCAUAAAGACACCUUGUGAAGGCUGUGAAGGUAGUAAGUCCUUAUCAGA